AUUGAACGCUGGCGGCAGGCUUAACACAUGCAAGUCGAGCGGAGACUUCGGUCUUAGCGGCGAACGGGUGAGGAAUGCCUGGGAAUCUGCCUGGUAUGGGGGAUAACGUUCCGAAAGGAACGCUAAUACCGCAUACGUCCUACGGGAGAAAGCAGGGGACCUUCGGGCCUUGCGCUAUCAGAUGAGCCCAGGUCGGAUUAGCUAGUAGGUGAGGUAAAGGCUCACCUAGGCGACGAUCCGUAGCUGGUCUGAGAGGAUGAUCAGCCACACUGGAACUGAGACACGGUCCAGACUCCACGGAGGCAGCAGUGGGGAAUAUUGGGACAAUGGGCGAAAGCCUGAUCCAGCCAUG
This 352-nucleotide ribosomal RNA is filed under the name uncultured bacterium. Its description in RNAcentral is "bacterial SSU rRNA". It matches the Rfam family "Bacterial small subunit ribosomal RNA", at positions 30 to 396 of the family's 1533-position model. The record is from RNAcentral.